GACGAACGCUGGCGGCGUGCUUAACACAUGCAAGUCGAACGGAAAGGCCCUGCUUUUGUGGGGUGCUCGAGUGGCGAACGGGUGAGUAACACGUGAGUAACCUGCCCUUGACUUUGGGAUAACUUCAGGAAACUGGGGCUAAUACCGGAUAGGAGCUCCUGCUGCAUGGUGGGGGUUGGAAAGUUUCGGCGGUUGGGGAUGGACUCGCGGCUUAUCAGCUUGUUGGUGGGGUAGUGGCUUACCAAGGCUUUGACGGGUAGCCGGCCUGAGAGGGUGACCGGACAGAAGGGGACCAGGAAUCGGGCACAACCCCCAUGGGGAGCAGGCGGGGGGGAUUAAUCAAAAUCGGCGGGAAGCUUAUUGAGAGAGCGCGCAGGAGGGAGGGUGGGCCUAAGGUGCGUAACCGGCUUCUCCUUGUAUAAAAACUAGUUUACGGUAAUGGGUAAAGAAGCACCGGCUAACUACGUG
RNAcentral lists this ribosomal RNA (468 nucleotides) under uncultured bacterium. RNAcentral describes it as "partial 16S ribosomal RNA". It matches the Rfam family "Bacterial small subunit ribosomal RNA", at positions 28 to 507 of the family's 1533-position model. The record is from RNAcentral.